This 412-nucleotide ribosomal RNA is filed under the name Mastus butoti. RNAcentral's name for it is "partial 16S ribosomal RNA". It matches the Rfam family "Bacterial large subunit ribosomal RNA", at positions 1922 to 2609 of the family's 2925-position model. The record is from RNAcentral. Lineage: Eukaryota; Metazoa; Mollusca; Gastropoda; Stylommatophora; Enidae.
CUUUAACGGCCGCAGUACACUGACUGUGCUAAGGUAGCAUAAUAAUUUGUCUUUUAAUUGAAGACUGGUAUGAAAGGCGCCAUGGAAAUAAGCUGUCUUGGAGGAACGAUAUAAAAUUUACUUAAAAGGUGAAAAUUCCUUUAUUUUAUUAAUAAGACGAGAAGACCCUUAGAAUUAUCACAAUACUUGUUUUCAAGGAAAGUUUUUGUUGGGGCAACAUUAUCAAAGGAGUAAACUGAUGAUCAUUAAAUGAAGAACAAAAUCAUUAUAUUUAACAUGGACUUAAUUACCUAAGGGAUAACAGCAUAAUUCGUAUACGAGAGUAUGACCUCGAUGUUGGAUUAGGGACUUUUUUCGCUAGACGUGAGAAAAGAUUGUUCUGUUCGAACAAAUAUACCCUACGUGAUCUGAG